GUGCACGUGGUGUGCAGAUAGACCAUGCAGGCAAAAUGCCCACACACAGAUAAUUCUCAUAAUCAUCAAUAACAACAAUAAUUUGUUUUUAACAAUUAGCCAUUGUUAUAAUAAUUCAAAAUAGAACUUUAACCCAGUACAAAACACAUGUCACUUAACUAUAAAAAUAUACAGAGAGAAGGUGUCUCUAUCAAUGAAUGUCUUCUAUGAUUUUUAUUUCUUCAUGUUUUACUGUAUUAAUUUAAAGUUUGUUUUUCAAAGUUUAUUGUUAUUAACAAAAAUAGCAAACGGUGUCAUGUUGCCAAGAGAUACGUACCAACCAAAAAUAAUGUAAGAUGGCUGCUUCUUAGCUGGCCUUUAGGUCCAGUGACACUGCCUUAUCCCAUACAAAAGAGCUUCUUCACUCGAACGUCACUGCCACAUUCCGUAUUGAAAUGAAAGGACACCGGAAACAGACUGUCUGUAGAACAAGCAGACACGGGACCUGGCAAGUGAGAGGGUUGAUACUCACGACUUUCUCUUUGUGUUUUAGAUAGGAGCUCAGUGCUACUUGGAAUGCUCUGCCCUGACUCAGAAGGGUCUCAAAGCUGUUUUUGAUGAAGCCAUCCUCACCAUUUUCCACCCCAAGAAAAAAAAGAAAGGCUGCCACGGCUGCUGUGUAAUCAUCUGAAGUUGCCUGAGACCCGUCUCUCCGCCAUGCAAAGAGGGAAGCCAGUCUCUGAGAACCAACGCUAGCCGAAAGGAGGGCGUGACCAGAAAGGAAUUCCUGCAUCCUCAAAGCCUGUCCCCACACCCUGCCAAUUCCCCAGCUCAGUAUCCUGUAAGCCACUGCCACAGCCCCAAGCCAGCCAGACAUCCACACUGCGCAUGGAGAAAGCAGAGGCUCGUUCAAACCGCAGGCUGGCGAGGUGUUGGAAGCCGAGUGAAGAUCCGUCCAGUAUUUCACAUCUUCUCUCUCACGGUUAUGAACCAACCGGAAGUCAUGACGGGCAAACCAAGUACUCUCUGUCCUGAACCAAUGGCCUUAGUUCAUGUCUUCACCAACCUUGGGAAUACGACAACUUUUUUUUUUCUGAGUCUUUUACUCAAGCCCCUUGCCGUUCAUUUAUUUCUACUGCAGUUUCCUGUUGUCCAAUCACUUGAGCCUUACAAAUCCACAUCAAAAUAACCGAAAGACAAGCUGGAUUGUGUUUAUGCCAACUGACAGUGGCUCUCUGCCAAUGUUCUUAGAGCUGCCAUGUACCUCUGAAUGCCUAAUUACAAAAAAAAAAUUACAACUUUUAUAAACUGACAGACCCAUAAUGUUUUUAACCUUUUUAAAAGAAAGCAUCCUGUGAAUUAUUACAGCUCCCCGAGUUUGGCCAAAGAUCAACCUACAAAUGCUGCAGGUGAUAGGGGGUCUGCUCUUGCAAAGCCUUACUGUCAUUCAAAAACGGACUGUCGUGGAAGAAACCGUUUUCUACUCCUCCUCUAAACUGGUCAGGACAAUAAUAGAGCAAAGCUAUCUUCCCACUGCAGGAGAGUGAGCCUGACCCACCCUGUUCAUGUAGUAUCUUCACUUUUUCUCCUGUGCCCACUGUGUUCCCAGUCAAAGCUUGCCAAAAAAAAAAAAAAAAAAAAAAAGAGUUCCAGAAUCCUCCAGGGUCAAAGUGCCUCAACUUUCCUCCUUGCUUUAGGUGAAAGUGUUACUCAGCCCCAUACAAGCUUCCAUUAAGGACAGUUUCUAGUCUCAGCCAGUAUGGAAUCAUUGCCCCCUCUCUUUCUUUCCUCCAUACCCUCUCCCAAAUGUCCAUGGAGAAUGGGCUUAAGCGGUGAAGCCUGUCCACUGAGGACAUUUGGGAGAAGGGGUUUGGCCCUGAGUGGGAAAAGCUCCCAGCGAGGAAUCCUGCCCCUGACAGGACAGUUUCAAACAGCCAGGGACUCUCUAUGUUUUAAUUAGAAGCGGUGAUGGGCCCUGGUUAGCCUUACUUGCUUACAAAUGCCCAGGAAUUACCCAGGGAAACUGAUUUAUCAUUUUUUUAACUUUAUUCAUAUCUUAGCAAUAAGAAUUUAUUUUACUUUUUCUUGAUUGAAGCUCCCUCUGUUGGGGAAAAAAAAACUCUCAAUCUUUCUAGUCUUUUCUGCUCUUAGAAGAACCACAGAAGAAAAUGUAUGGUAUGGGUCUUCUUGAGUGUUUCCAUGACACCUCUUCAGUCUUUGGGGGGCUUGAUUGUUUGUCUGUUGUUUAGAAUUUCUGAAAUAUAUUUUUGCUUCUUCUA
This 2258-nucleotide long non-coding RNA is filed under the name Rattus norvegicus (Norway rat). RNAcentral describes it as "long non-coding RNA NONRATT024406". The record is from RNAcentral. Lineage: Eukaryota; Metazoa; Chordata; Mammalia; Rodentia; Muridae.